Molecule: transfer RNA, 71 nt
Filed under: Staphylococcus aureus
Lineage: Bacteria; Bacillati; Bacillota; Bacilli; Caryophanales; Staphylococcaceae
Also listed under: 1 other name
Description: tRNA-Lys
Rfam family: tRNA
About the family: Transfer RNA (tRNA) molecules are approximately 80 nucleotides in length. Their secondary structure includes four short double-helical elements and three loops (D, anti-codon, and T loops). Further hydrogen bonds mediate the characteristic L-shaped molecular structure. tRNAs have two regions of fundamental functional importance: the anti-codon, which is responsible for specific mRNA codon recognition, and the 3' end, to which the tRNAs corresponding amino acid is attached (by aminoacyl-tRNA synthetases). tRNAs cope with the degeneracy of the genetic code in two manners: having more than one tRNA (with a specific anti-codon) for a particular amino acid; and 'wobble' base-pairing, i.e. permitting non-standard base-pairing at the 3rd anti-codon position.
Source: RNAcentral
AUUAGCUCAGUUGGUAGAGCAUCUGACUUUUAAUCAGAGGGUCAGAGGUUCGAAUCCUCUAUGGCUCACCA